AUUGAACGCUGGCGGCAGGCCUAACACAUGCAAGUCGAGCGGAAACGAGUUAUCUGAACCUUCGGGGAACGAUAACGGCGUCGAGCGGCGGACGGGUGAGUAAUGCCUAGGAAAUUGCCCUGAUGUGGGGGAUAACCAUUGGAAACGAUGGCUAAUACCGCAUGAUGCCUACGGGCCAAAGAGGGGGACCUUCGGGCCUCUCGCGUCAGGAUAUGCCUAGGUGGGAUUAGCUAGUUGGUGAGGUAAGGGCUCACCAAGGCGACGAUCCCUAGCUGGUCUGAGAGGAUGAUCAGCCACACUGGAACUGAGACACGGUCCAGACUCCUACGGGAGGCAGCAGUGGGGAAUAUUGCACAAUGGGCGCAAGCCUGAUGCAGCCAUGCCGCGUGUGUGAAGAAGGCCUUCGGGUUGUAAAGCACUUUCAGUCGUGAGGAAGGURGUGUAGUUAAUAGCUGCAUUAUUUGACGUUAGCGACAGAAGAAGCACCGGCUAACUCCGUGCCAGCAGCCGCGGUAAUACGGAGGGUGCGAGCGUUAAUCGGAAUUACUGGGCGUAAAGCGCAUGCAGGUGGUUUGUUAAGUCAGAUGUGAAAGCCCGGGGCUCAACCUCGGAAUAGCAUUUGAAACUGGCAGACUAGAGUACUGUAGAGGGGGGUAGAAUUUCAGGUGUAGCGGUGAAAUGCGUAGAGAUCUGAAGGAAUACCGGUGGCGAAGGCGGCCCCCUGGACAGAUACUGACACUCAGAUGCGAAAGCGUGGGGAGCAAACAGGAUUAGAUACCCUGGUAGUCCACGCCGUAAACGAUGUCUACUUGGAGGUUGUGGCCUUGAGCCGUGGCUUUCGGAGCUAACGCGUUAAGUAGACCGCCUGGGGAGUACGGUCGCAAGAUUAAAACUCAAAUGAAUUGACGGGGGCCCGCACAAGCGGUGGAGCAUGUGGUUUAAUUCGAUGCAACGCGAAGAACCUUACCUACUCUUGACAUCCAGAGAACUUUCCAGAGAUGGAUUGGUGCCUUCGGGAACUCUGAGACAGGUGCUGCAUGGCUGUCGUCAGCUCGUGUUGUGAAAUGUUGGGUUAAGUCCCGCAACGAGCGCAACCCUUAUCCUUGUUUGCCAGCGAGUAAUGUCGGGAACUCCAGGGAGACUGCCGGUGAUAAACCGGAGGAAGGUGGGGACGACGUCAAGUCAUCAUGGCCCUUACGAGUAGGGCUACACACGUGCUACAAUGGCGCAUACAGAGGGCGGCCAACUUGCGAAAGUGAGCGAAUCCCAAAAAGUGCGUCGUAGUCCGGAUUGGAGUCUGCAACUCGACUCCAUGAAGUCGGAAUCGCUAGUAAUCGUGGAUCAGAAUGCCACGGUGAAUACGUUCCCGGGCCUUGUACACACCGCCCGUCACACCAUGGGAGUGGGCUGCAAAAGAAGUAGGUAGUUUAACCUUCGGGGGGACGCUUACCACUUUGUGGUUCAUGACUGGGGUG
This 1475-nucleotide ribosomal RNA is filed under the name Vibrio alginolyticus. RNAcentral describes it as "bacterial SSU rRNA". It matches the Rfam family "Bacterial small subunit ribosomal RNA". The record is from RNAcentral. Lineage: Bacteria; Pseudomonadati; Pseudomonadota; Gammaproteobacteria; Vibrionales; Vibrionaceae.